Molecule: ribosomal RNA, 374 nt
Filed under: Escherichia coli
Lineage: Bacteria; Pseudomonadati; Pseudomonadota; Gammaproteobacteria; Enterobacterales; Enterobacteriaceae
Description: partial 23S ribosomal RNA
Rfam family: Bacterial large subunit ribosomal RNA
Source: RNAcentral
AUAAUGGGUCAGCGACUUAUAUUCUGUAGCAAGGUUAACCGAAUAGGGGAGCCGAAGGGAAACCGAGUCUUAACUGGGCGUUAAGUUGCAGGGUAUAGACCCGAAACCCGGUGAUCUAGCCAUGGGCAGGUUGAAGGUUGGGUAACACUAACUGGAGGACCGAACCGACUAAUGUUGAAAAAUUAGCGGAUGACUUGUGGCUGGGGGUGAAAGGCCAAUCAAACCGGGAGAUAGCUGGUUCUCCCCGAAAGCUAUUUAGGUAGCGCCUCGUGAAUUCAUCUCCGGGGGUAGAGCACUGUUUCGGCAAGGGGGUCAUCCCGACUUACCAACCCGAUGCAAACUGCGAAUACCGGAGAAUGUUAUCACGGGAGACA